Molecule: ribosomal RNA, 494 nt
Filed under: uncultured bacterium
Lineage: Bacteria
Description: bacterial SSU rRNA
Rfam family: Bacterial small subunit ribosomal RNA
Source: RNAcentral
AGGACGAACGCUGGCGGCGUGCUUAACACAUGCAAGUCGAACGGGGAUUAAGUUGGAAGGGUUUCGGCCUGGAAGAUUAAUUCGAGUGGCGGACGGGUGAGUAACGCGUGAGCAACCUGUCCCAGACAGGGGGAUAACACUUGGAAACAGGUGCUAAUACCGCAUAAGACCACGGGGUCACAUGGCCCUGGGGUAAAAGGAGCAAUCCGGUUUGGGGUGGGCUCGCGUCCGAUUAGAUAGUUGGUGAGGUAACGGCCCACCAAGUCAACGAUCGGUAGCCGACCUGAGAGGGUGAUCGGCCGCAUUGGGACUGAGACACGGCCCAAACUCCUACGGGAGGCAGCAGUGGGGAAUAUUGCACAAUGGGGGAAACCCUGAUGCAGCGAACCGCCGCGUGAGUGAAGAAGCAUUUCGGUGCGUAAAGCUCUGUCAGCAGGAAAGAAAAUGACGGUACCUGACCAAGAAGCCCCGGCUGACUACGUGCCAGCAGCCGC